UCUCCGUUGGUGAACCAGCGGAGGGGUCAUUACAGAGUUGCAAAACUCCCAAACCAUUGUGAACGUUACCUAUCCCGUUGCUUCGGCGGGCGGCCCAGGCCCCGCGCCCGGCGCCCCCCGGCCCCCCGUGGGCGCCCGCCGGAGGUAAACCAAACCCUUGAAUUGCAUGGCCUCUCUGAGUCUUCUGUACUGAAUAAGUCAAAACUUUCAACAACGGAUCUCUUGGUUCUG
Molecule: unclassified non-coding RNA, 231 nt
Filed under: plant metagenome
Description: partial contains small subunit ribosomal RNA, internal transcribed spacer 1, and 5.8S ribosomal RNA
Source: RNAcentral